This is an RNA transcript of Dunckerocampus dactyliophorus (ringed pipefish), 4074 nucleotides long. It is a transcript of the gene named SLAIN motif family, member 1a, with no coding region annotated. The record is from RefSeq and is a predicted model, not a curated record. The transcript is spliced from 10 exons. Lineage: Eukaryota; Metazoa; Chordata; Actinopteri; Syngnathiformes; Syngnathidae.
GGAAAUCAUGCCAGCAUCAGCAUCAGCAGUGUGUGUGCGUGAGCGUGCAUGUGUGUGUUGCAUGUCGUCGCAGCCUCCUCAGAAUUAAGAGAAUCCAGUCCGUGCAAGAACGAGCAUCCAGGCCGAGCCUCCCUCCUCCACACUGCCUUUCUCAAUGUGCUUGGCGGCGGCUAAUGGAAGCCGAGGUGCUGCUGUCCCCCCCCGUGAUGGCGGACGUCAACGGCAACAAUAAGCUGGCCAACGCCGAGCUGGAGGUGCUGAAGCUCCAAGAGCUGGUCCGCAAGCUGGAGAAGCAGAACGAGCAGCUGAGGACGAGGGCCAACGCGGUAAACAAUUGUCCCAUCGCCUCCCAUCAUCACCACCAUCCUCCUCUUACUCCUCCUCCGCAGCAGCUCCCGGGCUCGCUGGCUGCUUGUCUACCCGCAGCCAGGGACCUUUUCUCGGCCAAGUGUGAGCCGUCCGCCCGGGAGCCCUUCGCUUAUUUUCAGCCGAGCUCGUCGUCGUCUCCUGAUGCAGCCGAGGAGGAGGAGGAGGAGGACGAAGUGGAAGAUGAGGAGGAGAACGAUGGAAGCACGACGGUUCUGGAUGAGGUUGACAUACUGGAUCUUAGCACCGUGCUCCCUGCAACAGAGCCCGAUAGCUGGCUUUAUGUAAGUCCCAGAGCCAAGCUGCAGGGCAGCGACAGCGGCCUCAGCCCUCUGCAGUGGUGCAGGCAGGUCCUGGACCACCCGGGACCAGAAGUGGAGCUGGCCAGGAUGACGCUGUGCCACAGAUUGGACCAAGCCAAGCGGUGGCGAGGAACGUCUUCCGUCCGUCCUUACAGCUGUAUAGACGGGCUGUCCACCCUCAGCUGCCCGGUCCAGCCUUACACUAAACCUGCUGUGCUAACCGAGUCCACAGCUCUGUCGUCAGCGCCGUUAGCAGCAUCUUCAUCACCAUCACCCGGGCCUCCUUUGGUCCAGUCCACCUUCCCUCUCAGGACCAGCUGCAGCCUCAGUGACAGAGCCCCCACCUUCCUGUCGAACUCUGCCCUGCACAAUGUGGGUCGGCAACAUGCGGCCAUCAGCCCCCAGUCUUCCCUGGACAGCGAGGCGGGCGUCUCUGAGCUGGAGGACGACUCCAUCUCCAUGGGCUACAAACUGCAGGACAUAACAGACGUGGAGGUCAUGGCUCGACUUCAGGAGGAGAGUCUGCGUCAGGACUACGCGUCCACCUCGGCCACGGCCAGUCGUCGCUGCUCCAGCUUCUCCUUGAACUCUCUGAGACGCAGCGAGGUGGACCUGGAGGAGGAUGACGAGGAGGAUGAGGGCUACGACCAGCUGCCUCCACCGCAGCCUCGACUUUUCCGCACGGGAUCCAUGCAGCGCAGUGGGGGAGGUCUACCUCACUCGCACACCUUCUCCAGCUUCAGAGACUGCAGACGAAGCUCCAACGCCUCAACCUUCUCAUUGGCUGCACUCGUACCCUACAACACAGGGACGUCUGGUCUGAGCACGGACGGUCACUACAGAAGUAGCACAGAUAUGAAACUCCGGAGAAGCAUGCCCAACCUGAUCCGAGCUCCGAGCAUGCCCAGUGUUCCCUGCCUGGCCCCUUCCUCCAUCGGCCCGCCCUCCCACGGCCCCUCCUCCCUCCCUACUAUGUCGUCCCUCCGCAGCAGCCAGAGCUUUGACUCGUCCAGCGGCCUCGCACGUCUCCAGUCGUCCAUUCCGCCUCCAGGCCAGCUGAGUCAGCGCGUCCAGAGUGUGGGCAACUUCCCCGCCGCCCCCCGCCAACUCUUUAAAGCCACGGCCUACGUAAGCCCCACCGUCCUGCAGGGCCCCGCCUCCUUGUCCACCUCCACCAGCCUGCACUCCAUCCCCAGCAGCCCUGCCCUGCCUCAGAGCCUCAAGCCCGCCGGAAGUUCCGUACCGCUGCCCGUAAAGACCGCCUACGCCGCCCCCAGCCAGUCCGCCUUCCCCCGCAGCUCGCUGCCCCGUCCAGCCUCUUUUGUGGGCAUCAGCGGAGUUACACGCUCAAGCAAAAUCUCCCAACCAACGCGCAGUAUGCUGACUCCGCCAAAGAGCCUGGCUUCCCUGAGUACCCUGAGGGAUGCCAGCUGGAAAGACGGCUGCUAUUAACUCCAAUAAUUCCAGACGUAUGGUAAAAAUAAGGUUAAUAAUGAUUAUUCUAACAAACAGGGUCAUGCUGCAUGGCUGCAGUAACAGCAUCUGUCCAGAGGAGGCAGUCACGAGCUGCCACCCAAGAGAGACUGUUAAGUGUUUUGUUUUUUAAAACUCUUCUUCUGAAUGAAGUAAAGAGCUGUAUGAGGCUGGCUCUCAUACGUUACCUGCAAUAUUCAGCUAAUGACUUACUUAAAUGUCAACUCCUACUUGUUGUGAUUUCUCUGCAAGAUGAAAACGUCACGCUUUUUCUAUAAUUCGCUUUUUUUUUUUAUAUAUAUCUCACACGGCUCACUUUGCAAACUUUUCUCACUGUGGUGUAAAAUAUGAUGAUGAUGAUGAAAAAUCUGUUCUUGUUCCAUCGUGUGCCUGUUUGGAAGUAUUGUGUCAUAUUUCAUAUCCGCUUCUACAGUAUGUACGUACUAGCCGCACCUGCAGCACUUUUAUCGCAAUUAUGAGAAAACCUUUUUGGGGUGGGGGGGGUUGUUUAAAUUAUGGCAAUUCUUUUAAUGCGUGAUGUGAGUUUUUGAUGUGUUUUUAUUCAAUUUUGUUUCUAAGUGAUUUUUAGUAAAGUAAUACUUUCAUUCAUGUGACUGCUGCAAUGAUAUUGCACAUCGACUCUGACGAGUUUCGUGUAUCAUAGGAAUUUUUAAAGUCAAAUUAAACACGUUUUGAAAAUAUAACGUUUUUCCCCAUUCCAUCCUCCAUUUUCUACACCGCUUGUCCUCACCAGGGUCGCGGAUAUUGCUGGAGCCUAUCCCAGCUGUCUUUGGGCGAGAGGCGGGGUACACCCUGGACUGGUGGCCAGCCAAUCGCAGGGCACAUGUAGACAAACAGCCAUUCACACUCACACUCACAUUCACACCGGUGGACAAUUUAGUUUUGACAUUUUUGAAAUUUAACCAGAUAAUUUACGGCUUUUCUGGAUAACAAUCCGUGACCUGGCAACAGAUGGGACACUGUAAGGGGCCUGCCAGUAAAUGACUCAUCAUGAGCAUAAUGUCUGUUGUCUUAAAUUUGCCCACCAACAGUCUCCCUGCUCGUUGAGGCUUCAUAUUAUCAAACGGAGUCCACUUCUUCAGUCCUUUCUGAAAACAUGCCUACCCAAGCUCAAGAGGUUUGGAUGUUUUUUUCUUUCAUAUCCACACUUAUGCAUGCAUUAAAGACGCCUGCUUUGUUAUAUAGUCAGAUUCUUUCUUUGCUUUACGGAGAACGCUUUAAUCAACCUGAAGACGUGACAGGACAUUUCCAAGGAGCUUGGGUUGGAGUGGACCGUCUUGGCUUUAACAGAACAGAGAUGACGCUUUCAUGCCAAAUCUAAAGUGAAGUGUGACCAGGCUUGAGCAAUGCUGGAAACCUGGUAUGUGUAACUAAAACAGUAACUGCAGUAACAGUAAGGGCAAGACAAGCAGUGAUAUGCUGCAUAGCAUUUUCUUAGCCUGUGCUAACAAAUCAGCACCCAGACCCUUCAUAUUUACCACAUAGAUUCUUUGGUUUUAGACCUUAUUCAUUCCCAAAGAAUGAAGGACUGAGUUAAAGGUCAAAGCCACAACAAGGUCAAACCUGUAAACGCCCCCGCCAAUUUUUUUUGUUGUUGUUUCAGUUUAAAUCUCACCACCUCCAAACUUGGAAUCUAUUCACUACGAUGUUAAGAAAAUCGCCUAGCGCUAUAGUUGUCAUAGACAUCUGCUGAUGUAGUCCUGUUGUCGUUAAUGUUGUUGUUGUCUUACUCUGUCUUGUCCCCCCAGUCCCCCCCUCUGUCUCCCUUUCUCUUCUUCUCUAUCCCCUCCUGCUCCAGUCCGGCUGCUCCACGUAUGAAAAGUCACGGGACAAGCCCAACAAGACAAAGCUGCUGCAGGAUGGACUGGAGCGGGCGGGCAGACGAGACCUGUCCGAAAGGCUGCGUUGUCUC